Rosa rugosa (rugosa rose) is the source of this 1068-nucleotide long non-coding RNA. RefSeq lists it as uncharacterized. The transcript has 2 exons. Lineage: Eukaryota; Viridiplantae; Streptophyta; Magnoliopsida; Rosales; Rosaceae. The record is from RefSeq and is a predicted model, not a curated record.
AGGAAGUUGAGGCGGAGGGUAUGGAACCUAAUUAGUACAUUUGAUUGACUGGUAUGUGAUUUUCGCUUUGCAGGUUUUCUUGUUUUUCCAUUUGGUUUUGGAGCUCAAAAGUAUAUUUGUUUCUUUUUUUUGCUGGGUUGUGAUUUUCUUUACUAUGAGUAACAUAUUAUGGGUUUUGCAUCACUCCAACAGAAAGACUUCUAGAAUACUCAUACGUGUCCCGUGGCUUCUCAUCUCAGAGGGAAACCAGUGUUGGAUUGGGGAACUAGGGAAACGGAUUGCCUUUUGGAGUUGCAAGAGGACUGUUAUACCUUCAUGAGCAGUGUGACCUGAAAGUUAUCCACAGGGAUGUGAAGGCAUCAAAUGUACUUGAUGACUACUGUGAAGCCGUAGUUGGAGAUUUUUAUUUGGAAAAGCUUUUGGAUCACCAAGAUUCACAUGUCACCACUGCAGUGAGGGGUACCAUAGGACACAUAGCUCCAGUCCUCUGAUAAGAUGUCUUUGGAUUCGGUAUUCUUCUCCUUGAACUAAUCACAGGCUAGGCAGCUCUAGAAUUUGCCUAGUCAACUAACCAAAAAGUAGCCAUACUUGAUUGGGUGAGCAAACAACACAAAUCCUGUAUAUUUAUUACGAAAAUAGUACUAAAUAGUAACUGAUUAGUCCAAUUUUAUAUGAUUUACAUUCGAGAUUCAUUUGAUCACAGGUUAAAAAGUUGCAUCAGGAAAAGAAGCUUGAAAUGCUAGUGGACAAGGAUAUUAAUACUAACGGUGAUCGCAUUGAGCUUGAAGAAAUGAUUCAAGUUGCACUCGUGUACUCAAUACCUUCCUGGUCAUAGGCCCAGAAUGUCUAAAGUACGUGGUCAGAAUGCUAGAAGGUGAUGGACUUGUCUCAAGUUUCUGUUUCAAACGCCUCUAAGUGUUGUUUGUCUGCAUCUGAAAGUAGAAGUGUUCUGUGGUUAAGUGAAAGACUGCUAAAUCGCAAUUUUUGAUGUACAAAUGAACUAAUUGUUUUUAAUUCAAGCAAUAAAAGAAAAGUCUGGAAUGAAAUUGGGGUAUUUUAUUUUAUUCA